Molecule: long non-coding RNA, 1304 nt
Filed under: Phoenix dactylifera (date palm)
Lineage: Eukaryota; Viridiplantae; Streptophyta; Magnoliopsida; Arecales; Arecaceae
Description: long non-coding RNA (PDAC_LNC006517)
Source: RNAcentral
GGUGGAGUUGCUCGCUACUUUCUGUUCGUUCACACCGUUUGGGUCUCUUAGGUAUACGGUGCGGUGCCCAUCCUUGUCCUCUGCUCAAGACCCCGAGAGAGAGAGAAAGAGAGAGAGAGAGAGAAGGGCUAUGGAGGAGAAGUACUGGGACCUGGUGCUUGUUCCCUUGGGUCUCUUGGUGUUGGCUACCUACCACUCGUGGCUCCUUCUCACCAUACUCCGGCAUCCAAAGCGCACCGUCAUCGGCCUCAACGCCCUCGCCAGGCAACGCUGGGUCAGAGCCAUGAUGGCCGUGAGUUUCUCCCAUCUUCUCUUCUCUAUGCAUCUAUUUGUCUUGGUUCGCUUCACUUCUUUUGGGGGAAUUUCCAUAUCAAGAGGCUAAUCCGAUAGAUAGAUUUCUUGGACAUUCUCAUCGAGUAAGCCUGCUAACAAUUGACGAAGCAGUCACAGUUUCCAGGUGUAAUUGAUCACCCCGGUUCAAUUUGAAAAAGAUUGUAUUAAGAAAGUGCUGUUGAUUGCAUCCCUCUACUACUUUAGCUCAAAGCAUCAAAGGAUGCAGUAUAGAGAAUUCUCAAUUCUAGGAGCAAAAUUUGGGGUUCCAGGUGUUGGAGGAGGGGUGUUCCUUGGUUCAUUUUAGGAGGCUAAUGGGUGUUCUGUUACCACCUUGUGGAGGAGAAUCUUCCACCAUGCGACAGGUCGGUAAAGUGAUGGAUGCGACCAAAGUGAACCUACGGCAGCUGUAAUCUCUCACGGGUCUCCUUGCACUGGCAUCGAGAACAGUGCAUUUAACGAAGCAACGUGAUUGAUGAGCGAAAAAAAAGGACAACUGAGUGGCUCCUUGAUUGAUUUUUCCGAGUUACUGUAGAAUUGUUCUUUUUCUACGAGUCACGGAGUUUGGCAUGUGCAACGAGCUUUGAGAGGAAGCUGUGAUGACUGCAAUCAUUCACGUGCAUGCAUACUUUUGUCACUUAAGGUGUAAGAACCAGGUCUGCUGCUUGGCUUGGACCAAAGUUGGCAGGCCUAAUGGGCUUUGAUUCAAGAGCUUUUAGAAAUAAAGGAUUAUGAUCCCCUGCUUUUCGAAUGGUUUGAAUGGCCGUCGCAGCCGGUGCCAACGGCCAGUGGCCGUUAGAGGCGAUUGCAACCACCAAACGGUCGGCCGUUGCCCGAGCUUAUCCCCUCCAACCGACGAACGGCCAGCCAUUACGGCCGUUGCGUUCGAGCUUAUCCCCUUCUUUCGGGGUUAUAAAAACCCUCGAUUAUCUAUCCGAUCCGCCACCUCCUUUCUUCUUCCUUCUCCCUCCUCC